GAUGAACGCUAGCGGGAGGCCUAACACAUGCAAGCCGAGCGGUAUGGGUAGCUUGCUACCCAGAGAGCGGCGUACGGGUGCGUAACACGUGUGCAACCUGCCCCUAUCCGGGGGAUAGCCCUCCGAAAGGAGGAUUAAUACCCCAUAAUAUAUCUGGUGGCAUCACUAGAUAUUGAAAACCCCGGUGGCUAGGGAUGGGCACGCGCAAGAUUAGAUAGUUGGCGGGGUAACGGCCCACCAAGUCGAUGAUCUUUAGGGGUCCUGAGAGGGAGAUCCCCCACACUGGUACUGAGACACGGACCAGACUCCUACGGGAGGCAGCAGUGAGGAAUAUUGGACAAUGGGUGGAAGCCUGAUCCAGCCAUCCCGCGUGAGGGACGACGGCCCUAUGGGUUGUAAACCUCUUUUGUACGGGGAUAAACCUAUCUACGUGUAGAUAGCUGAAGGUACCGUACGAAUAAGCACCGGCUAACUCCGUG
Molecule: ribosomal RNA, 479 nt
Filed under: uncultured bacterium
Lineage: Bacteria
Description: partial 16S ribosomal RNA
Rfam family: Bacterial small subunit ribosomal RNA
Source: RNAcentral